UACGUAGGGGGCAAGCGUUGUCCGGAUUUAUUGGGCGUAAAGAGCGUGUAAGCGGUCAGGUAGGUCCGUUGUGAAAACUCGAGGCUCAACCUCGAGACGCCGAUGGAAACCAUCUGACUAGAGUCCGGAAGAGGAGAGUGGAAUUCCUGGUGUACCGGUGAAAUGGGUAGAUAUCAGGAGGAACACCCGUGGCGAAGGCGGCUCACUGGGCAUCUCCUGACGCUGAGGCGCGAAAGCGUGGGUAGCAAACAGG
This 253-nucleotide ribosomal RNA is filed under the name uncultured bacterium. RNAcentral describes it as "partial 16S ribosomal RNA". It matches the Rfam family "Bacterial small subunit ribosomal RNA", at positions 524 to 776 of the family's 1533-position model. The record is from RNAcentral.